GGGCGAAUGGUUUAGUGGUAUAAUACUCCCUUAGCAAGUUCCGCAUAUGGAUACUUGGGAGUGGUCCAGGGUUCGAUUCCCUGUUCGUCCA
Non-coding RNA from Neonectria magnoliae, 91 nucleotides. The record is from the annotation of a GenBank genome assembly. Lineage: Eukaryota; Fungi; Ascomycota; Sordariomycetes; Hypocreales; Nectriaceae.